GAUGAACGCUGGCGGCGUGCCUAAUACAUGCAAGUCGAGCGAACGGACGAGGAGCUUGCUUCUCUGAUGUUAGCGGCGGACGGGUGAGUAACACGUGGAUAACCUACCUAUAAGACUGGGAUAACUUCGGGAAACCGUAGCUAAUACCGGAUAAUAUUUUGAACCGCAUGGUUCAAAAGUGAAAGACGGUCUUGCUGUCACUUAUAGAUGGAUCCGCGCUGCAUUAGCUAGUUGGUAAGGUAACGGCUUACCAAGGCAACGAUGCAUAGCCGACCUGAGAGGGUGAUCGGCCACACUGGAACUGAGACACGGUCCAGACUCCUACGGGAGGCAGCAGUAGGGAAUCUUCCGCAAUGGGCGAAAGCCUGACGGAGCAACGCCGCGUGAGUGAUGAAGGUCUUCGGAUCGUAAAACUCUGUUAUUAGGGAAGAACAAAUGUGUAAGUAACUGUGCACAUCUUGACGGUACCUAAUCAGAAAGCCACGGCUAACUACGUG
Molecule: ribosomal RNA, 497 nt
Filed under: uncultured bacterium
Lineage: Bacteria
Description: partial 16S ribosomal RNA
Rfam family: Bacterial small subunit ribosomal RNA
Source: RNAcentral